GUGCCAGCAGCCGCGGUAAUACGGAGGAUCCAAGCGUUAUCCGGAAUCAUUGGGUUUAAAGGGUCCGUAGGUGGAUAAUUAAGUCAGAGGUGAAAUCUUGCAGCUCAACUGUAAAAUUGCCUUUGAUACUGGUUAUCUUGAGUUAUUAUGAAGUAGUUAGAAUAUGUAGUGUAGCGGUGAAAUGCAUAGAUAUUACAUAGAAUACCAAUUGCGAAGGCAGAUUACUAAUAAUCAACUGACACUGAUGGACGAAAGCGUGGGUAGCGAACAGGAUUAGAUACCCUGGUAGUCCACGCCGUAAACGAUGGUUACUAGCUGUUUGGACCUUGUGUCUGAGUGGCUAAGCGAAAGUGAUAAGUAACCCACCUGGGGAGUACGUUCGCAAGAAUGAAACUCAAAGAAAUUGACGG
This 410-nucleotide ribosomal RNA is filed under the name uncultured Formosa sp. Its description in RNAcentral is "bacterial SSU rRNA". It matches the Rfam family "Bacterial small subunit ribosomal RNA", at positions 505 to 916 of the family's 1533-position model. Lineage: Bacteria; Pseudomonadati; Bacteroidota; Flavobacteriia; Flavobacteriales; Flavobacteriaceae. The record is from RNAcentral.